Molecule: long non-coding RNA, 882 nt
Organism: Alnus glutinosa
Lineage: Eukaryota; Viridiplantae; Streptophyta; Magnoliopsida; Fagales; Betulaceae
Exons: 2
Source: RefSeq, a predicted model, not a curated record
CGAUAUCUAUACUCAUUUUGCCAUUUUCUUCAUUUCAGAGCUUCCUCCCAAAAUUUUCCCUCCCUCUCUCCAUCUACCCAUUUUCUUCCCACCGUCGACCACCAAACACGACCCGCCACCGCCGUUCUCCACGCACGACCGGCCACCGUCGUUCUCCAUCUUCGGCCAACUCCGUCGUUCUUCCAGUUCCGGUUGUCUUCCAUCUCCGGCCGUCCCCAAAACCACUACAAACGGCCACCAUCGUUCUCCAUCUCCGGCCAAAACCCAACCACCGCGCGUUCUCCAAAUCCGAUUCGGCUCCGACAACUCAACCACCGUAUCGCCACGAGCAGCCCCAGCCGAAACACCACCGCCGACGAGCCCAUCCACCGGAAGAGUUCAGAUAUGGGAGGUCAUUGUAGGUGCUGAAGACCUUGUUGAUUGAGAAGGUGUAUUUUUUACCAUGACAUGUUUGAGCAGAGGAUGAGAGGCGUUGGGAUAAUUAGUUAUUAGAGUUUUGGUUUGCUUUCGCCUGUUGCCAUUUAUGUUCAUGAAGCAGUUCCACGAACAAUACUCUCUUUAGUGGAAAUGUUUUUUGCUAAUUAAUUUGUAAUCUCUUUGACAGUGAUGAUGAGCUCUUAGAAGUAAAGCUUGAUUAUCUAUGUGCAUGUAUAUUAAUACAUUAUUAGUCAUUAAGGAAGUGUGUACUUACAGAAAAGGAGAGACUUGAUUUGUAGCUCAAGUUGAUAUCUGUUAUUUGAUUAGCAAUGAUGCAAUCAUGUAAGAUAGGUUGCCAUGUCUCUCUAUGUGGAUCUUUGGUUUCACUCGAUGCAGAUUCAGUGAAGCAGAUGGCCCCAAGUGGAAAAUGUGUUUGAAAUAAUGAGACAUUGAUUCUGUAUUUAA